GACAUCGAGAUCGCGGUUUCCAGAGAUGGAUUCCUUCAGUUCGGCUGGAUCUUAGACAGGUGUUGCAUGGCUGUCGUCAGCUCGUGUCGUGAGAUGUUGGGUUAAGUCCCGCAACGAGCGCAACCCUCGCCUUUAGUUGCCAUCAUUAAGUUGGGCACUCUAGAGGGACUGCCGGUGAUAAGCCGGAGGAAGGUGGGGAUGACGUCAAGUCCUCAUGGCCCUUAUGGGUUGGGCUACACACGUGCUACAAUGGCGGCGACAAUGGGCAGCGAAGGGCGACCCGGUGCAAAUCCCAAAAGCCGUCUCAGUUCGGAUUGCACUCUGCAACUCGAGUGCAUGAAGGUGGAAUCGCUAGUAAUCGCGUAACAGCAUGACGCGGUGAAUACGUUCCCGGGCCUU
RNAcentral lists this ribosomal RNA (399 nucleotides) under uncultured Parvibaculum sp. RNAcentral describes it as "bacterial SSU rRNA". It matches the Rfam family "Bacterial small subunit ribosomal RNA", at positions 983 to 1382 of the family's 1533-position model. The record is from RNAcentral. Lineage: Bacteria; Pseudomonadati; Pseudomonadota; Alphaproteobacteria; Hyphomicrobiales; Parvibaculaceae.